CCUACGGGUGGCAGCAGUGAGGAAUAUUGGUCAAUGGACGAGAGUCUGAACCAGCCAAGUAGCGUGAAGGAUGACUGCCCUAUGGGUUGUAAACUUCUUUUAUAUGGGAAUAAAACGUUCCACGUGUGGGAUUUUGUAUGUACCAUAUGAAUAAGGAUCGGCUAACUCCGUGCCAGCAGCCGCGGUAAUACGGAGGAUCCGAGCGUUAUCCGGAUUUAUUGGGUUUAAAGUGAGCGUAGGUGGAUUGUUAAGUCAGUUGUGAAAGUUUGCGGCUCAACCGUAAAAUUGCAGUUGAAACUGGCAGUCUUGAGUACAGUAGAGGUGGGCGGAAUUCGUGGUGUAGCGGUGAAAUGCUUAGAUAUCACGAAGAACUCCGAUUGCGAAGGCAGUUCACUGGACUGCAACUGACACUGAGGCUCGAAAGUGUGGGUAUCAAACAGGAUUAGAUACCCUAGUAGUC
Molecule: ribosomal RNA, 460 nt
Filed under: uncultured bacterium
Lineage: Bacteria
Description: partial 16S ribosomal RNA
Rfam family: Bacterial small subunit ribosomal RNA
Source: RNAcentral